AAGACAUUGAGAGUUUGAUCCUGGCUCAGGACGAACGCUGGCGGCGUGCCUAAUACAUGCAAGUCGAGCGGGUAUCGAAAGAUACCAGCGGCGGACGGGUGAGGAACACGUGGGGAAUCUGCCUAACAGACCGGAAUAACGCCUGGAAACGGGUGCUAAGGCCGGAUAGGCGCAUGAGGCGCAUGCCUGAUGCGGGAAAGGAUGCUACGGCAUCGCUGAGAGAGGACCCCGCGGCGCAUUAGCUAGUUGGUAGGGUAAAGGCCUACCAAGGCGACGAUGCGUAGCCGACCUGAGAGGGUGACCGGCCACACUGGGACUGAGACACG
Molecule: ribosomal RNA, 326 nt
Filed under: Alicyclobacillus tolerans
Lineage: Bacteria; Bacillati; Bacillota; Bacilli; Caryophanales; Alicyclobacillaceae
Description: 16S rRNA. Bacterial SSU
Rfam family: Bacterial small subunit ribosomal RNA
Source: RNAcentral